Amphimedon queenslandica is the source of this 760-nucleotide long non-coding RNA. RefSeq lists it as uncharacterized. The transcript has 6 exons. Lineage: Eukaryota; Metazoa; Porifera; Demospongiae; Haplosclerida; Niphatidae. The record is from RefSeq and is a predicted model, not a curated record.
CACAUGUAUAGUAAGAAAUGAUUAUAAUCUGUUAGCUGCAAUAUUAUCAUGAUAGUUACUAAAUACUGAUAUAUUGCCCAUCCUUAUUGGUACUGCAUUUCUCUAUUCUCAUUGUUGUGUUCCUUGACCCCUAUUCUUGUAUAUCUUAAUUUGUCUCGUAUUGACAUUUCUUCCUCUCUUUUGCCUUCUCUCCUCCUAGUAUAUGUACAUGUACAUCUAACUUUUGCUCUUUCUCUUUUCUUCCUAUAUAGGAUUCUCCUAUCUCUUACGUUCUUUGUCUUCUUGUGUAUAAUACAGUUCUUUACUGAUACUAUAAGCUUGUGUUAACACAAUACAUUUUUGAAUCACAGACACAUUGCGUGUCAAGAAUCAAGAUUCCAUUUCCGGCAAAAGAUGUGGGAGCAGAACUAUCCUAACAACAUGAUGGAGAAUGGAAUUAAGACAAAAUGCUAAGAAUAUUCAAAGCAUGUCCAAUUUGAACAAUGCCGUUAACUACUCAUAAUCAAUAAACAGUUUGUUCCAUGGACAUUAACUUAUUACUUAGAGAAAAGGAUGUGUUGAGAUUAAUAUGCACUAAUGCAAUGUGUCACCAUUUUCUUGAUGCAUCAAGCUUAGGAGAUACUGAGGUCAUCAAUGAGUCUUGCAUUCAAGCUUGCUGUCUUUCAAAAUUAGGACACUGUACAUAAACUUGCAUUUUUGUGUUCUUUUUAUAAUGUUAUAAUUGUUUUUUGUUACCUAAAAUAAUUAUUCUUUAAUACUA